Molecule: long non-coding RNA, 251 nt
Organism: Oncorhynchus tshawytscha (Chinook salmon)
Lineage: Eukaryota; Metazoa; Chordata; Actinopteri; Salmoniformes; Salmonidae
Source: Ensembl
UGACCAUGCUGGUCAUUUAUGAACAUUUGAACAUCUUGGCCAUGUUCUGUUAUAAUCUCCACCCGGCACAGCCAGAAGAGGACUGGCCACCCCACAUAGCCUGGUUCCUCUCUAGGUUUCUUCCUAGGUUUUGGCCAUUCUAGGGAGUUUUUCCUAGCCACCGUGCUUCUACACCUGCAUUGCUUGCUGUUUGGGGUUUUAGGCUGGGUUUCUGUACAGCACUUUGAGAUAUCAGCUGAUGUACGAAGGGC